GACGAACGCUGGCGGCGUGCCUAACACAUGCAAGUCGAGCGGGGUUGAAGCGAGGGGUAACUCGAACUUCUACCUAGCGGCGGACGGGUGAGUAACGCGUGGGCAACCUGCCUCAAGGAUCGGGAUAACAGCUCGAAAGGGCUGCUAAUACCGGAUAUGCCUAUGGCCUCGCAUGGGGCUGUGGGCAAAGGGGAAACCCGCCUUGAGAUGGGCCCGCGUCCCAUCAGCUAGUUGGUGAGGUGAAGGCUCACCAAGGCGACGACGGGUAGCCGGCCUGAGAGGGUGACCGGCCACACUGGGACUGAGACACGGCCCAGACUCCUACGGGGGCAGCAGUGGGGGAUCUUGCACAAUGGGCGAAAGCCUGAUGCAGCGACGCCGCGUGAGCGAAGAAGGCCUCGGUUGUAAAGCUCUGUCUGGAGGACGAAGAAAGUAGACGGUACCGUCCGAGGAAGCCACGGCGUAACUACGUGCCAGCAGCCGCGGUAAAGUACACGUCG
RNAcentral lists this ribosomal RNA (500 nucleotides) under uncultured bacterium. Its description in RNAcentral is "bacterial SSU rRNA". It matches the Rfam family "Bacterial small subunit ribosomal RNA", at positions 28 to 534 of the family's 1533-position model. The record is from RNAcentral.